This 917-nucleotide long non-coding RNA is filed under the name Callithrix jacchus (white-tufted-ear marmoset). RNAcentral describes it as "lncRNA (ENSCJAG00000053863.2)". Lineage: Eukaryota; Metazoa; Chordata; Mammalia; Primates; Cebidae. The record is from RNAcentral.
GCAAGAGUGAAAGUUCCAAUCCUCUAAAGUCAUAGUUGUUACCUUGGUAACCAGCCCCCAUCCUGAGGUAAUCUAGGCGCUCCCAGCUACCAGUCAUCUCAUUAGGACACAAAAAAUACUUUUUUUUUUCUGACAUAGGAUACUGUGUCACCCAAGCUGGAGCACAAUGGCAUGAUCAUGGCUCACUGCAGCCUCUACCUCCUACACUCAAGUGAUCCUCCUGCCUCAGCCUCCUGAGUAGCUGGGACUUCAAGCAAGCAGCCACCACAUCUGGCUAACAAAAGAUACUCUUAUCUCUUGGGAAUUCUAAGGAUUUUGGAUGCUUAAGUGAGGAAAUGGGGAAUAAGACCAAAUAUGCGUUUCGUUAUAAAACACAAGGAAACAUGGGGAAGUGAUAGAAGUCUGAAAUCAAACUAGCUGGGAAACUACAUUUAUCGUUGGACUGAGUAUAUGUCUGGCCCCCGGGUAAAUUGCUCUGUGAUUCUUAACCUAAAUGGCAAUUAAACAAUCCUCUGGAUCCUGGAUCUUACUGAAUAUUCACUACUAAAGAGAUGACAAAAUUUCACUGAAGUGGGGAAUUAAAUGAAGACAAGGAUGCCAUGUUGAAUGAUUCUUUGCUUAAAUUGGAUUUGUGCCCAAAGCAGCAGGAGAUGCUGUCCCAAAAGCCGGAACAUUUUAUAAGUACUGGCAAUGAAGGUUUAUUACUUCAUUCCAAAAACAGCACAGAGAGCCCACUAAGGAGGUCCAGGGGAGAAGGGGAGCCACCGAACUGCACAUCGGGGAGAAGUGCUGACCUCCAGGCUGCGGAGUCAGGCAGGCUGCCUUACUUUUGUGGCUUCGUGCCUCGGGUGGUGAUGAGCAUAAAGGCCAGUGGGAAUUUGGAUGUUGCAACUGGUGAUAAAAAAGCAACUAGUUAG